ACUCAAAUGAAUUGACGGGGGCCCGCACAAGCGGUGGAUCAUGUGGUUUAAUUCGAAGCAACGCGCAGAACCUUACCUGGGUUUGACAUCUCUGGACCGCCGUAGAAAUACGGUUUUAGUAGCAAUACUACCAGAUGACAGGUGCUGCAUGGCUGUCGUCAGCUCGUGUGGUGACAUGUUGGGUUAAGUCCCGCAACGAGCGCAACCCCUGUCCUUAGUUGCCAGCAUUCAGUUGGGCUCUCUAAGGAGACUGCCGUGGUUAACACGGAGGAAGGUGGGGAUGACGUCAAGUCCUCAUGGCCUUUAUAUCCAGGGCGACACACGUGAUACAAUGGUUGGUACAAAGGGAUGCGAACCCGCGAGGGGGAGCUAAUCUCAAAAAGCCAAUCUCAGUUCGGAUUGGAGUCUGCAACUCGACUCCAUGAAGUUGGAAUCGCUAGUAAUCGCGGAUCAGCACGCCGCGGUGAAUACGUUCCCGGGCCUUGUACACACCGCCCGU
RNAcentral lists this ribosomal RNA (499 nucleotides) under uncultured bacterium. RNAcentral's name for it is "partial 16S ribosomal RNA". It matches the Rfam family "Bacterial small subunit ribosomal RNA", at positions 899 to 1397 of the family's 1533-position model. The record is from RNAcentral.